GCUCAGAUUGAACGCUGGCGGCAGGCCUAACACAUGCAAGUCGAGCGGUAGCACAGAGAGCUUGCUCUCGGGUGACGAGCGGCGGACGGGUGAGUAAUGUCUGGGAAACUGCCUGAUGGAGGGGGAUAACUACUGGAAACGGUAGCUAAUACCGCAUAAUGUCGCAAGACCAAAGUGGGGGACCUUCGGGCCUCAUGCCAUCAGAUGUGCCCAGAUGGGAUUAGCUAGUAGGUGGGGUAACGGCUCACCUAGGCGACGAUCCCUAGCUGGUCUGAGAGGAUGACCAGCCACACUGGAACUGAGACACGGUCCAGACUCCUACGGGAGGCAGCAGUGGGGAAUAUUGCACAAUGGGCGCAAGCCUGAUGCAGCCAUGCCGCGUGUGUGAAGAAGGCCUUCGGGUUGUAAAGCACUUUCAGCGGGGAGGAAGGCGUUAAGGUUAAUAACCUUGGCGAUUGACGUUACCCGCAGAAGAAGCACCGGCUAACUCCGUGCCAGCAGCCGCGGUAAUACGGAGGGUGCAAGCGUUAAUCGGAAUUACUGGGCGUAAAGCGCACGCAGGCGGUCUGUCAAGUCGGAUGUGAAAUCCCCGGGCUCAACCUGGGAACUGCAUUCGAAACUGGCAGGCUAGAGUCUUGUAGAGGGGGGUAGAAUUCCAGGUGUAGCGGUGAAAUGCGUAGAGAUCUGGAGGAAUACCGGUGGCGAAGGCGGCCCCCUGGACAAAGACUGACGCUCAGGUGCGAAAGCGUGGGGAGCAAACAGGAUUAGAUACCCUGGUAGUCCACGCCGUAAACGAUGUCGAUUUGGAGGUUGUGCCCUUGAGGCGUGGCUUCCGGAGCUAACGCGUUAAAUCGACCGCCUGGGGAGUACGGCCGCAAGGUUAAAACUCAAAUGAAUUGACGGGGGCCCGCACAAGCGGUGGAGCAUGUGGUUUAAUUCGAUGCAACGCGAAGAACCUUACCUGGUCUUGACAUCCACAGAACUUUCCAGAGAUGGAUUGGUGCCUUCGGGAACUGUGAGACAGGUGCUGCAUGGCUGUCGUCAGCUCGUGUUGUGAAAUGUUGGGUUAAGUCCCGCAACGAGCGCAACCCUUAUCCUUUGUUGCCAGCGGUUAGGCCGGGAACUCAAAGGAGACUGCCAGUGAUAAACUGGAGGAAGGUGGGGAUGACGUCAAGUCAUCAUGGCCCUUACGACCAGGGCUACACACGUGCUACAAUGGCAUAUACAAAGAGAAGCGACCUCGCGAGAGCAAGCGGACCUCAUAAAGUAUGUCGUAGUCCGGAUUGGAGUCUGCAACUCGACUCCAUGAAGUCGGAAUCGCUAGUAAUCGUAGAUCAGAAUGCUACGGUGAAUACGUUCCCGGGCCUUGUACACACCGCCCGUCACACCAUGGGAGUGGGUUGCAAAAGAAGUAGGUAGCUUAACCUUCGGGAGGGCGCUUACCACUUUGUGAUUCAUGACUGGGGUGAAGUCGUAACAAGGU
This 1483-nucleotide ribosomal RNA is filed under the name uncultured bacterium. RNAcentral's name for it is "bacterial SSU rRNA". It matches the Rfam family "Bacterial small subunit ribosomal RNA". The record is from RNAcentral.